RNAcentral lists this ribosomal RNA (253 nucleotides) under uncultured bacterium. Its description in RNAcentral is "partial 16S ribosomal RNA". It matches the Rfam family "Bacterial small subunit ribosomal RNA", at positions 524 to 776 of the family's 1533-position model. The record is from RNAcentral.
UACGUAGGGUGCGAGCGUUGUCCGGAAUUACUGGGCGUAAAGAGCUCGUAGGUGGUUUGUCGCGUUGUUCGUGAAAUCUCACGGCUUAACUGUGAGCGUGCGGGCGAUACGGGCAGGCUAGAGUACUGCAGGGGAGACUGGAAUUCCUGGUGUAGCGGUGGAAUGCGCAGAUAUCAGGAGGAACACCGGUGGCGAAGGCGGGUCUCCGGGCAGUAACUGACGCUGAGGAGCGAAAGCGUGGGGAGCGAACAGG